RNAcentral lists this ribosomal RNA (1426 nucleotides) under metagenome. Its description in RNAcentral is "bacterial LSU rRNA". It matches the Rfam family "Bacterial large subunit ribosomal RNA", at positions 1492 to 2925 of the family's 2925-position model. The record is from RNAcentral.
ACACGAUCGGAAAUGUGUGUCCAAGCAGCAAGUCUGAGAACGAGUGAAAUGCUUUUUCUCUCAAGGACAAGCUGUGAUGGGGAGCGAAAUUUAGUAGCGAAGUUCCUGAUGUCACACUGCCAAGAAAAGCUUCUAGUGAGAAAGUAACUGCCCGUACCGCAAACCGACACAGGUAGUUUAGGAGAGAAUCCUAAGGUGUGCGAGAGAACUCUCGUUAAGGAACUCGGCAAAAUGACCCCGUAACUUCGGGAGAAGGGGUGCUGACCGCAAGGUCAGCCGCAGUGAAUAGGCCCAAGCGACUGUUUAUCAAAAACACAGGUCUCUGCAAAAUCGAAAGAUGACGUAUAGGGGCUGACGCCUGCCCGGUGCUGGAAGGUUAAGAGGAGAGGUUAGCGCAAGCGAAGCUUUGAAUUGAAGCCCCAGUAAACGGCGGCCGUAACGAUAACGGUCCUAAGGUAGCGAAAUUCCUUGUCGGGUAAGUUCCGACCCGCACGAAAGGCGUAACGAUUUGGGCACUGUCUCAACGAGAGACUCGGUGAAAUUAUAGUACCAGUGAAGAUGCUGGUUACCCGCGACAGGACGGAAAGACCCCAUGGAGCUUUACUGCAGUUUGAUAUUGCGUGUUUGUAUCACAUGUACAGGAUAGGUAGGAGCCGAAGAUACCGGGACGCCAGUCUCGGAGGAGGCAACGGUGGGAUACUACCCUUGUGAUAUGACCACUCUAACCCGCUGCUCUUAGCGAGCAGGGAGACAGUGUCAGACGGGCAGUUUGACUGGGGCGGUCGCCUCCAAAAAUGUAACGGAGGCGCCCAAAGGUUCCCUCAGAAUGGUUGGAAAUCAUUCGUAGAGUGUAAAGGCAGAAGGGAGCUUGACUGCGAGACCUACAAGUCGAGCAGGGACGAAAGUCGGGCUUAGUGAUCCGGUGGUUCCGCAUGGAAGGGCCAUCGCUCAACGGAUAAAAGCUACCCUGGGGAUAACAGGCUUAUCUCCCCCAAGAGUUCACAUCGACGGGGAGGUUUGGCACCUCGAUGUCGGCUCAUCGCAUCCUGGGGCUGUAGUCGGUCCCAAGGGUUGGGCUGUUCGCCCAUUAAAGCGGUACGCGAGCUGGGUUCAGAACGUCGUGAGACAGUUCGGUCCCUAUCCGUCGCGGGCGUUGGAAAUUUGAGAGGAGCUGUCCUUAGUACGAGAGGACCGGGAUGGACACACCGCUGGUGUACCAGUUGUUCUGCCAAGAGCAUCGCUGGGUAGCUAUGUGUGGACGGGAUAAACGCUGAAAGCAUCUAAGCGUGAAGCCCCCCUCAAGAUGAGAUUUCCCAUCACUUUAAGUGAGUAAGACCCCUGAGAGAUGAUCAGGUAGAUAGGUUGGGAGUGGAAGUACAGCGAUGUAUGGAGCGGACCAAUACUAAUCGGUCGAGGACUUAACCUG